This is an RNA transcript of Suricata suricatta (meerkat), 2995 nucleotides long. It is a transcript of the gene named S-adenosyl-L-methionine-dependent tRNA 4-demethylwyosine synthase, with no coding region annotated. Lineage: Eukaryota; Metazoa; Chordata; Mammalia; Carnivora; Herpestidae. The record is from RefSeq and is a predicted model, not a curated record. The transcript is spliced from 17 exons.
UGGCAUGGCUGCUCCCAGCUCUUUGGGCUCAGGAUAUACUGUUAAUGCUUCAAGGUAGUCUGGUCGUCUCCUGGUGUCCGAUCCGGCCGCCAGGUUCUUCAGGUCUGCAGUCCUAGUCUGUCGGGGAGCAGGGCCUGGGCUCUGAGGAGAAUGGAUCCUUCUUUGGAUUCAUGGGACUUCUCUUCACCUUUAAUAUCAUUAUGGAUAAACAGGUUUUACAUAUAUUUGGGCUUUGCCUUUGGCAUUAGCCUUUGGAUUUGUUUCCAGAUUGUCAUCAGGAAGCAGUUGUUUAUCUUUAAGGACAAGAACUCAAAGGAUAAAUCUGUUCCAAAAGCAACUCGGGAUUCGAUGCCAAACGGUCAUAUCGCUCUGCAAAAGAAGGACAUCUUUGUGUCUGGAGUGAAGAUUUUCUAUGGUUCCCAGACUGGAACAGCAAAGGGAUUUGCAGCAAGUCUUGCUGAAGCAGUUGCCUCCCUAGAUCUGCCCGUGGCAGUUAUUAAUCUCCAAGAAUACGAUCCAGACGAUCAUCUAGUAGAAGAGGUUACUAGUAAAAACAUUUGUGCCUUCCUGGUUGCAACGUACACUGACGGUCGACCCACGGAAAGUGCAGAGUGGUUCUGCAAAUGGUUAGAGGAAGCAGCCAGUGAUUUCCGAUUUGGCAAAACUUACCUGAAGGGUAUGGGAUACGCUGUGUUUGGCCUGGGAAAUUCUGCCUAUGCAAGCCACUUCAACAAGGUCAGCAAGAACGUUGACAAGUGGCUCUGGAUGCUUGGCGCUCAUCGCGUGGUGGCUAGAGGGGAGGGUGACUGCAACGUGGUCAAAAGCAAACGUGGCAGCAUCGAAGCCGACUUCAGCGUUUGGAAGACCAAGUUCAUCUCCCGGCUGCAGGCACUUCAGAAAGGCGAGAAAAAACCCUGUGGCGGCAACUGCAAGGAAGGCCAGUGCGAAUCAUCCGCGGAGGAAGAGCUCGUGGAGAGCAGCAGUGAGGAGGAGUCUGGUGUCGAGGACCACGAGAAUCCCAAUUCUGUCGUUGAUGUUGAAGACCUCGGCAAAAUUAUGAAUUGUGCGAAGAAAGAAAAGAGAGAGAAGGAGCACCAGGAGGAGAAUAGCGCUCUGGUCAGGAGCACCGGGAAGGGUGAAGGCCCGGAAAGAAGGGCCAUGAUAACCCCUGCUCUCCGAGAAGCCCUUACUAAACAAGGUUAUCAGUUGAUUGGGAGUCACUCUGGGGUGAAGCUUUGCAGAUGGACAAAGUCGAUGCUCCGAGGGAGAGGAGGUUGCUACAAACAUACAUUCUAUGGCAUCGAAAGUCAUCGAUGCAUGGAAACUACCCCAAGUUUGGCAUGUGCAAAUAAAUGUGUCUUCUGUUGGCGGCACCACACCAAUCCAGUGGGCACUGAGUGGCGGUGGAAGAUGGACCAGCCUGAAAUGAUCUUGAAGGAAGCCAUUGAAAAUCAUCAGAACAUGAUUAAGCAGUUUAAAGGGGUCCCAGGUGUCAAAGAAGAUCGUUUUGAGGAGGGGAUGAUGGUAAAGCACUGUGCGUUGUCCCUUGUGGGCGAACCCAUCAUGUACCCGGAAAUCAAUAGGUUUUUGAAAUUACUCCACGAGUGUAAAAUCUCCAGUUUCCUGGUCACAAACGCACAAUUCCCUGUGGAAAUCAGGAACCUCAAACCAGUCACACAGCUCUAUGUCAGCGUGGAUGCUAGCACCAAAGACAGCCUGAAGAAAAUUGACCGCCCUCUCUUCAAGGAUUUCUGGCACAGAUUCCUCAACAGCUUAAAAGCCUUGGCAGCAAAGCAACAGCGUACUGUGUACAGGCUGACUCUGGUGAAGGCGUGGAAUGUAGAAGAGCUCCAGGCCUACGCCGAGCUGGUGUCCCUGGGGAGCCCCGACUUCAUCGAGGUGAAGGGUGUCACCUACUGCGGAGAGAGUUCAGCAAGCAGUCUCACCAUGGCCAACGUGCCCUGGCACGAGGAGGUGGUACACUUUGUGCGCGAGCUGGUGGCUCUCAUCCCCGACUAUGAAAUUGCUUGUGAACACGAACAUUCCAACUGCCUCCUGAUAGCGCACAAAAGGUUUAAGAUUGAUGGAGAAUGGUGGACGUGGAUUGAUUAUAACCGCUUCCAGGAGCUCGUGCAGGAAUAUGAAGAUAGCGGUGGAGCCACAGAUUUCAGCGCCAAGGAUUAUAUGGCCAAAACCCCUCACUGGGCAUUAUUUGGUGCCAGUGAAAGAGGCUUUGAUCCCAAGGAUACCAGAUAUCAGAGAAAGAACAAAUCAAAGGAUAUUUCCGGAUGUUGAGAUUAUCUGACUAUAUUAGGGUACUGACGGACAAGAACUCCCGGCCCUGGAAGGUUCUCACCCUCCAUUGUGGUUUUUCCAAGGACACGUUACAUGAUUUGUGUUUCACAUAGGGGAGGCUGGAAGGCUGCACACAGGGAUGCAAGUCCCGUCCCGGUUAGGGGAGGUGGCAUCCACACUCUGAGUGCCUGGGGCUCAGCCUUGCAUUUCUUUUCAGAGCUCAGUCCCUUUUCUGAUUUUACUUCCGAGAGGAGCAUCACUGCGGGGGAAGUACACAGCCAUUAGAAUUUAACGGCUGGUGUUUGAAUUAUAACUUGUGAGGCUCCCAAGAACACUGUUCCUGAGGGUGUUGUAAGGGAUGAACCCCGCGCGGGCUGUUGGCCUUUGUGGGCUGUAUUACCCCAAGAUUGCCAUGGAAGGUAUUAGUGGGCUGCACCAGUGUGAAAGUGCUCUUCUGGAAGAAUCACCCUUAUGAUGUCAUCAAUUAGUCUCACAGGCAAACUUUGAGUGCGGUUUGCUUUUUGUUCAAAAAGUCAUUGGUCAGGCCCCUGGCCUUGUAUCCAGAACUUCUUUUCCCUCUUAGAGCCCCGGCUACUGGACACAAACUGUUCUUCAGGUUCAAGUUUUUUCUAAUCAAAAACAUUGACUACCCAAUAGUUUGUUUUAAAAUAUCAUAGUUAUUUUUUAAAAAUUCCUUUAC